CUGUGAUGCCGCCUACUCUCUCUAGACCAAGGUUCUGGUACACCACAUGACCCACUCUCUUGUUCAGGCCUAUGCCACCCCAUACCAUGAUGCUUGCACCUCCCCAUGAUAUGCUUCUCUUUCCAUAACAC
This is a long non-coding RNA of Haliotis rubra (blacklip abalone), 131 nucleotides long. RefSeq lists it as uncharacterized. NCBI's taxonomy places the organism in Eukaryota, Metazoa, Mollusca, Gastropoda, Lepetellida, Haliotidae. The record is from RefSeq and is a predicted model, not a curated record. The transcript is spliced from 3 exons.